Quercus robur (English oak) is the source of this 1298-nucleotide long non-coding RNA. RefSeq lists it as uncharacterized. The transcript has 4 exons. NCBI's taxonomy places the organism in Eukaryota, Viridiplantae, Streptophyta, Magnoliopsida, Fagales, Fagaceae. The record is from RefSeq and is a predicted model, not a curated record.
UGCAGACCCAAAACCUUGGCAGAACGGUAAACAGAGAAGGCACGGAGUGGGGACUGGGGAGAGAGGCGAUGAAUAUAUGGAGAAAGAAACAGAAAAAGAGAGAGGCAAUGAAGACACGGAGAAAGAAACAGAAAAAGAGAAAGGCGAUCCCGAGACACGGAGAGAGAAGAGAAUGCCUCUCUGUUUCUGACAGAACGCCUCUCUGUUUCUCUCACUAAGAUCAGAGUAAAAGUCCCCUCUGCCCACAAACAACGCCUCCGAUGGGUUCUAUUCUUUCUCUGAUUUUUUUUAGAGAUGAAGUGGAAUCUUUCCACAAUCUAGAGUCUCUAAUUUCAUCAAAUCAAGUUGGUUAACUCAGAAUGGUGUCUCCAUUACGUGGGCAGCAACAAAUUAUAUGGUUUCCCCAUUAUUUGAAGUUUAUGAAGACCUUUAACAUGUAGACCAGUUGAACCAAAUUAUCAGAAAAUGGGAUGUGCUUAGGUGAAGACAUUUGAUUGGUUAGCAUCUAAAUGUUUGAUCAUUCUGCUAUGGACACAUCAGGCCUAGACUAUAGGAUUUGAGUUGGCAGAUAAUACUUGGGCUCUAUAAACCAUAUCUUUUGUUUAUUUUUCCAUAAGGAUUAUGUCAAAUAAGAACAAAUUACUAUAUUUGCUAGAUGUUUAAUGAAAGGCCUCCAAUUUUAUUUUUAAUUCUCAUUUAAUCUAUCUUCCUUUUUUUCUAUACAGAUGAAAAUCUCCUGCGGUGGAGCUUAAUGCUCUAUAAAACAUUGAAAGAGAAUCACAAGUAGCAUAUCCAAUUAGUACUUUCCUAAGUCCAACAUGUUCUUUUGAUUUUUUUUUUUUUUUUUUUUUUAGCUCUUAGUGCUGUCUUUAUUUAACUUCAAGUGAAUUGGUGCUUCCUUUUUGUUUUAUUGAAGACAUUUGCAAUUUUUGGAGUUGAGGAUAAAUGUUAUAAUGAGUCAUUGCCAUUUUCAUGAAACUUAUGCCAUUUUGGGUAUUUGGGCUAGGUUGGUUUUGGUUAUCUAUCUAUUAUUGAUGAGGCCAAGGGCAAUGGCUAUACAAUAUGACACUUAAAUUUAUUUGGUUAAAUAACUCACUUUUUCCUCUUUUACGAAUUACCUACAAUGAGUCGGGGAAAGGGUAUUUCUAAAUUUAAGCUAAGUAUAUGGAUGGAGUAUCUAAUGUAGAAAAUAUUUGUAUACAAAUCCUUGGAUUAAUUUACAAAAAAGUUACUUUGUAAUUUCUAUAUCUUAAAUUAUGCUUGGUUUAUGGCUUCGAGAUGAAGCUGAAGUUCUUUGA